Molecule: ribosomal RNA, 404 nt
Filed under: Actinomycetes bacterium
Lineage: Bacteria; Bacillati; Actinomycetota; Actinomycetes
Description: Actinobacteria bacterium partial 16S ribosomal RNA
Rfam family: Bacterial small subunit ribosomal RNA
Source: RNAcentral
UGGGGAAUAUUGGACAAUGGGCGCAAGCCUGAUCCAGCCAUGCCGCGUGAGUGAUGAAGGCCCUAGGGUUGUAAAGCUCUUUCACCGGUGAAGAUAAUGACGGUAACCGGAGAAGAAGCCCCGGCUAACUUCGUGCCAGCAGCCGCGGUAAUACGAAGGGGGCUAGCGUUGUUCGGAUUUACUGGGCGUAAAGCGCACGUAGGCGGACUAUUAAGUCAGGGGUGAAAUCCCGGGGCUCAACCCCGGAACUGCCUUUGAUACUGGUAGUCUUGAGUUCGAGAGAGGUGAGUGGAAUUCCGAGUGUAGAGGUGAAAUUCGUAGAUAUUCGGAGGAACACCAGUGGCGAAGGCGGCUCACUGGCUGGAUACUGACGCUGAGGUGCGAAAGCGUGGGGAGCAAACAGG